This 131-nucleotide microRNA precursor is filed under the name Vitis vinifera (wine grape). Its description in RNAcentral is "MIR845_2 microRNA precursor family". It matches the Rfam family "MIR845_2 microRNA precursor family". Lineage: Eukaryota; Viridiplantae; Streptophyta; Magnoliopsida; Vitales; Vitaceae. The record is from Rfam by way of RNAcentral.
AGAACGCACAUUAAUUAUCCAUGGGGCCAUGGGAUUAACAAAAACCCUGUAAAAACAUGUUAGCACACCAUAGAAUGGUUCUAGAACGAUUACUAACCUAUGUCUUUGAUACCAAUUGAUGGGAAAACCCC